Molecule: long non-coding RNA, 3267 nt
Organism: Nylanderia fulva
Lineage: Eukaryota; Metazoa; Arthropoda; Insecta; Hymenoptera; Formicidae
Source: RefSeq, a predicted model, not a curated record
AUACUUGGCACAAUCUACUGGAAGAAGACGCAUCCUGCCUUCUGUGAAACAAGGUUGUGACAACAGGUGGUCCCGAAGCAAGUUUGUCCUCGCAAAGGACUUUAGGAGAGAUAAUUUGCGAUGAACCUCGAUCUUCGGGGGAGAGAAAGAGAGCGAGUUCUUCUUUCUUUUCUGGAUCUAAAUACGGAAUCGAUAUUGAGAACGAAGAGACACACGUGGAAAAGGAAGAGAGGCGUUUACGCAAAUGAAGGAGCUACAGCCGGCUGGAGAAUGAAAAAAGGGCAAAAUCGAGACGUACACUUCAAGAAGUCAGUGAUGUCGCGUCAGUAAGUGUCGGUGAAGUCAGCGGAAUUUUCUCUCGCGCUAACUACUACGUUGGGGAAACAAGAAAGAAUGACAACUUACCGAUAUGCAGCUUCCUCGUCAUAAUCGUGAUCUCUCUCCAAAUCACGAAUGUCCCCCUGUGGCGAGGCAACCGCUCUUUCCACGCCGUGGAAAUCCCAAUUCUGGGGCCUCGGCACCUCUUCAAUCAGGUCCGACUGAUCAGCCCGUCGACCCUGGCGAGAACCGCUCUGAACACUACGACGAGCUCGACGCGAUAUCGUAUAGUUCUGAGGAUCCUUACCAUCCUUGCGUAGAAUCUCGGGCAGGAUACGUCGCCUGGCAUUUAUAAACCAGUUACACACCUGGAAAAGAAACAUGUAAAAUGGUCUGAAUGGUCUAAAUGGUUUAAAAUGGUUGGAAAAAAUGGUCUAAAAUUCUAACAAAAUCGAUAAAAGGAUAUUUCCAUGGAUUAAUAUACAUAUAAAAGGCGAUAAGAGCUAAAUUGAAAACAAUUAUACUAACCUGUAGGAUGGAGAGCCGAGUAAGCUCGCUGAGAUGCAGCUUCUCGCUCUCACUGGGAUAAGCGUUGUACCGAUGUUCCAUCAGCCAACGCUUAAGGAUGUUCACCGCUUCCUUGGGCAGGUUGCCGCGGCGUUUCCUGCGCGACGAGUCCUGACCGGAAGCGGCGUGGCGAUUUCGCCGAAUGUCAGGCGACGUAUCCGGAGAGAUGUUCUCCGUCUCGGACAAUCCGCUAUGAUCUUCGUCCGUGGUGCUGGAUGCUCGGGUCGGUGGUAAAGCUCCCACCGAAGCUCCGGUCGCGGCUCCAGGACGUCGAUUAUAGAAUGGAGCCACUGCUGAAACAAUAAAAAACAAUUGCGUUUUUGUUAAUCAUAAAUAAUUGGCAAUUUUUUUAAAUAAUAGAACUCAUGUAUAUCGACGUGAUUUUUUAUGAAAAUUUUUUGGAGUUUUUUAAGGUUUUAUUAUUGGUAAAAAAUGUGUUAAUGGUCGAAUAAUAUCUAGUUUUUCGUGGAUCAUAUAUAUUUUAUUCUUUUUAAUGUAUCUUUUUAUGUUCAAGUUACAUAUCAAUUUCAUGAUCGUGCGCGCGCACAAAUGUCCUAAUUAUAUAAAAAUUUAUAAUAUAAAUCCGACCUAAUGUCACCGCCAGAGCAUGUGCAAAGGGUUACAUGCUGUUUUCAGGUGUCUUUUUAUACGCAGCAUGCUGCAGCAGCUGACUUUCCUCAAUUGAACUUCAUCAAUAGCAACAAACUGCGGCAGCAUGCUGUACAUGAAUACUAAUUUUAUAUUCAGAAUAUCUCUUAACACGUUAAUUAACGAUCGCGUUUGAAGGUGUGACAGUGUUUUUAAGUAUGAUAAAUUAAAAUACGAUAAGAAUAAGAAACACUUUCGAUUGUGUAACCGAGAUAAGAAAAACACGCGCAUAUGUAUGUCCCACCUGACUUUCUUGGGAGAAGUAUAGAAGAUACUUUUUAUUUCUUCUUCUCGGGAGGCAUUUUUAUUUUUUUCUCAUAUUUCAGACAAAUUAAAAAAAUGAAACUCGAUGAAUAUUCUUUCCACUAACAAAAAAAAUAUUUAUUAAUAUUUUCUUAAUCUUCCUAUAUCGUCAUAAGGGGAUGGAACUAACAACCCCUAUUUAUAGAAUAUUUUAUCAGAACUUUUUAACGGAAUAUGAUUAUCUAAAAAUAUGCGUGAGAAAGUUUGAUUUUUUUAGAGAAAGUUGUUUGUAUUUUUUUUGUAAAAUCAAUAGUUUUUAAGAAUCGUCAAAAAUUGUUCGUACUUGUUUAGCACCCUGUAUAUCGCUAUAGUCUUCGUUUACGAGCGAAAAUCGGCGGCGAUAUCGCGCAAUAGAGAGAACUCUCUUCGGGACGCGCCUACGCAUUUCGCGCGUGAGAUUCCCUCACGCACCGAACUUGCGGCUGAUUGGCCGAGAUUCGCCUUUCAUUGAGGCGGCGCACGCGUACGAACGUCCGGAUUAUGCAAUUCAAGGUUACGGUGGAGCGAGCGUAAACAGGGAGGUCGUAAGAAUAAGCGAGCUACAGUGCGAGAGAGGCGACCGACCCGAAACACCGAAGGAAUUUGUUUUCGAUCGAUUGCUGACGAGCAAAGCUGUCAAAAAACUCGCGACACGUCGAUAUGAAUAUAGGACUUUUGUGGUCGAUGAUGUACCCGAGUCCUGAUCUUGACGGAACGUCUAUCGUCUAUAAAAAGGGCGCCGACAAAGUACAAUACUUGGAUGGCAAAAGAAAAAAAUUCUACGAAUUUUCGAAAGAGUAGAUUGGAAAUUCAUGGGUGUCGUCUCUCGAAGCAGAUGAGGAGGCACAAGCGGGUGCAUCUCGUCGAGGGACAACGAUGCCCAUUCCGGAAACGGAAUCCACCGCUAGAGAGGAGGACCGAAACUAAACUUAGCGCUUGAGUUUUGCAGUUACGUAAGGUCCAGUAACCCGACGAUGUAAAAUUAGGAUAGCUCUCCUUGCUUUUGCGCGUGUGCGUCCCCUAAUUUUUUUUUUUUUUUUUUUUAGCGACAACUGUGUGUCCUCGUCUCAUAGUUUGGAAUGUCCAUCCAUCUUACAGCUCGCGACAGAAUCCAUGUUCGAUGAUGGAUAAUCUCAUAUUCCGUAUUUAUUUGGCGUGUUGCAAGACUUAUCUUGGCGACUUUUGCGCGUAUAAAUAUUACACAUACACGAAUAUUUUAAUUAAUAAUAUUAAACAUUAUGCUAUAAUCUUGGCAGAGAUAUAUGCAUGUAAUUUGAAUAGAUUACAGAUAUUAUAAAUUCGCGGACGAUGAAAAAUAUUACAUGGCAAUAAAUUUAUCAUCAUAUAGAAAUAACGUUCGAUUUAUAUCCGUAUAUAAGAUAACGAAUUUAUUUAAAUAUUUAUGUAUUUGUACACGUCGCAUAUUUCUUCAGCUUUUUAUUAAAAAAAAUU